GUCAGUCCCAGACAGCACCCAGCAUGGACAUGAGGACCCCUGCUCAGCUCCUGGGGCUCCUGCUGCUCUGGCUCCCAGAAGCCAUGUGUGACAUCCAGUUGACCCAGUCUCCAGCAUCACUGUCUGUGUCUCCAGGAGGCACAGCAACCAUCACCUGUAGGGCCAGUGAGGACACUGGGUAUGGUUUAGCCUGGUACCAGCAGCAACCAGGGAAAGCCCCUAAACUCCUGAUCUAUGCUGCAAAUGAUUUGCAAACUGGGGUCCCAUCGAGGUUCAGUGGCAGUGGAUCUGGAACAGAGUUUACUCUCACCAUCAGCAGCCUGCAGCCUGAAGAUGUUGCCACUUAUUACUGUAUGCAGCAUUAUCGUGAUCCUCCCACAUUCGGUGGCCACAGGUUCAGUGGCAGUGGAUCUGGGACAGAGUUCACUCUCACCAUCAGCAGCCUACAGCCUGAAGAUGUUGCCACUUAUUACUGUCAACAGUAUUAUGUUUACCUUCCCACAGUGUGA
Non-coding RNA from Perognathus longimembris pacificus (Pacific pocket mouse), 509 nucleotides. The record is from the annotation of a RefSeq genome assembly. Lineage: Eukaryota; Metazoa; Chordata; Mammalia; Rodentia; Heteromyidae.